Molecule: transfer-messenger RNA, 299 nt
Filed under: Candidatus Parcubacteria bacterium
Lineage: Bacteria; Candidatus Parcubacteria
Rfam family: transfer-messenger RNA
About the family: Bacterial tmRNA, also known as 10Sa RNA or SsrA, is named for its dual tRNA and mRNA-like properties.
Source: RNAcentral
GGGGAUGCAAAUAAGAAUCGACGGAAAUUCUUCCUUUAUCAAGGCGGGCCGAGUUUGCUAGAAUCUCGAUAAACUUCUAGCAAAACUUAAUGCCAACGAACCUUCUCUUGCAUUAGCAGCUUGCUAAUGCCAUCUGCCUGCCUGUCCUCGCUCAGGCAGAGUCAGGUGUCAUAUUAAGCGAGGGAAGUACUUUUAUCUCUUCAUUUAAAUGGUUGUCAGUUUACCUUAAACUGACUACGCCCGUAGAUUUGGUAAAGGGGAAUUUCCGGACGGGAGUGCAAUUCUCCCCAUCUCCAAAU